RNAcentral lists this ribosomal RNA (253 nucleotides) under uncultured bacterium. RNAcentral's name for it is "partial 16S ribosomal RNA". It matches the Rfam family "Bacterial small subunit ribosomal RNA", at positions 524 to 776 of the family's 1533-position model. The record is from RNAcentral.
UACGAAGGGUGCAAGCGUUACUCGGAAUUACUGGGCGUAAAGCGUGCGUAGGUGGUUUGUUAAGUCUGUUGUGAAAGCCCCGGGCUCAACCUGGGAAUGGCAAUGGAUACUGGCAAGCUAGAGUGCGGUAGAGGGUAGUGGAAUUCCCGGUGUAGCGGUGAAAUGCGUAGAGAUCGGGAGGAACACCAGUGGCGAAGGCGGCUACCUGGACCAGCACUGACACUGAGGUACGAAAGCGUGGGGAGCAAACAGG